GGGCGGUUACCCAAGUGGCCAAAGGGGGCUGACUGUAAAUCAGCUGGCGUUGCCUUCGGCGGUUCGAAUCCGUCACCGCCCA
This 82-nucleotide transfer RNA is filed under the name Anaerolineales bacterium. RNAcentral's name for it is "tRNA-Tyr". It matches the Rfam family "tRNA". From Rfam's summary of the family: Transfer RNA (tRNA) molecules are approximately 80 nucleotides in length. Their secondary structure includes four short double-helical elements and three loops (D, anti-codon, and T loops). RNAcentral also lists the same sequence under 1 other name. The record is from RNAcentral. Lineage: Bacteria; Bacillati; Chloroflexota; Anaerolineae; Anaerolineales.